This 73-nucleotide transfer RNA is filed under the name marine sediment metagenome. Its description in RNAcentral is "tRNA-Thr". It matches the Rfam family "tRNA". Rfam says of the family: Transfer RNA (tRNA) molecules are approximately 80 nucleotides in length. The record is from RNAcentral.
GCUGAAGUAGCUCAGUUGGUAGAGCUGUUCCCUUGUAAGGAACUGGCCAGGGGUUCGAAUCCUCUCUUCAGCU